This 253-nucleotide ribosomal RNA is filed under the name uncultured bacterium. Its description in RNAcentral is "partial 16S ribosomal RNA". It matches the Rfam family "Bacterial small subunit ribosomal RNA", at positions 524 to 776 of the family's 1533-position model. The record is from RNAcentral.
UACGAAGGGGGCUAGCGUUGCUCGGAAUCACUGGGCGUAAAGCGCACGUAGGCGGACUCUUAAGUCGGUGGUGAAAUCCUGGAGCUCAACUCCAGAACUGCCUUCGAUACUGGGAAGCUCGAGUCCGGGAGAGGUGAGUGGAACUGCGAGUGUAGAGGUGAAAUUCGUAGAUAUUCGCAAGAACACCAGUGGCGAAGGCGGCUCACUGGCCCGGUACUGACGCUGAGGUGCGAAAGCGUGGGGAGCAAACAGG